Molecule: ribosomal RNA, 416 nt
Filed under: uncultured metazoan
Lineage: Eukaryota; Metazoa
Description: SSU rRNA
Rfam family: Eukaryotic small subunit ribosomal RNA
Source: RNAcentral
UUACCUGGUCCGGACAUCGAUAGGAUUGACAGACUAAUAGAUCUUUCAUGAUACGGUGGGUGGUGGUGCAUGGCCGUUCUUAGUUCGUGGAGCGAUCUGUCAGGUUUAUUCCGGUAACGAACGAGAUCACGUUCUUCAUUUGGGGAGCUGUAUUCAUCUUUGAUUGCAAAAGUGCCUGGUGCUGGCGUUGAAGGCAUCGUAGAGCAGCUUCGGGUGUGUCAGUUGAGGUGGUAACAUCGAGGCUGGCAUGCUCUGGGUUACCUUUGCGCUCCCUCCGGCUUAGCAGUUCAUGUCUCGCAAGAGUCGUGUAUUGUAUCAUGGAGAGACAACGGAAUAUACUAAAAAAAUCCGAGGAAGUGUGGCUAUAACAGGUCUGUGAUGCCCUUAGAUGUUCAGGGCUGCACGCGCGCUACAAU